GAUGAACGCUGGCGGUAUGCCUAACACAUGCAAGUCGUACGAGAGUUUUUAACUCUAGUGGCGGACGGGUGAGUAACACGUGAGAAUUUGCCUUUAGGAGGGGGACAACAAUCGGAAACGAAUGCUAAUACCCCAUAUGCUUUCGAGUGAAAUGGAUUUUAUCCGCCUAGAGAGAAGCUCGCGGCUGAUUAGCUUGUUGGUAAGGUAAGAGCUUACCAAGGCGACGAUCAGUAUCUGGUUUGAGAGGACGAUCAGACACACUGGAACUGAGACACGGUCCAGACUCCUACGGGAGGCAGCAGUGGGGAAUUUUCCGCAAUGGGCGAAAGCCUGACGGAGCAAUACCGCGUGAGGGAAGAAUGGCCUAUGGGUUGUAAACCUCUUUUUUCAGGGAGGAAUAAAAUGACGUGUACCUGAAGAAUAAGCAUCGGACUAACUCCGUG
RNAcentral lists this ribosomal RNA (443 nucleotides) under uncultured bacterium. Its description in RNAcentral is "bacterial SSU rRNA". It matches the Rfam family "Bacterial small subunit ribosomal RNA", at positions 28 to 507 of the family's 1533-position model. The record is from RNAcentral.